Acanthopagrus latus (yellowfin seabream) is the source of this 4623-nucleotide long non-coding RNA. RefSeq lists it as uncharacterized. NCBI's taxonomy places the organism in Eukaryota, Metazoa, Chordata, Actinopteri, Spariformes, Sparidae. The record is from RefSeq and is a predicted model, not a curated record. The transcript is spliced from 2 exons.
AGGAGAACGGGGGUCAACAGCAACAGGUUGCAAUGGAGACUCCCGCAGAACACACAAACUACUCUUACCAACACACCAAGUGAAACUAAGCUCCCAGCAGGGUGGGGCCGAGGGCACGAGAUGAAUCCAACCAAACAGGAUUCAGCUGGAAGAGAACUGUGCUCCAUACCAUCACAAAGCACCCAGACUUGAACAUGGAUAUCAAAAGGAACAUGUGUGUGUGCUUGUUUGUGUGUGCGUGUGUGUGUGUGCGUGCGUGUACGUAUGUCUGUAUAUUUUUGUUUUCUGUUUUUGUUUUUGUUUUUUUUUUUUAAAGAAAAGGACAACACUCACAUUAUUGGACUUUCCUGCUCACAUCCUCAAGAGUUGAUCAACCAAAGGUGGGAAUCUUCUUCACAGAAGCUUUGAUCUAUUUUGAUAACUGAAAAAAAGGAAACAUAACAAGAAGUUUUAAAAGAAAAAAACAGAAAAAAAAUUAUGAGAGGAGGAAAAGACACAGAGCAUUAUUUUUGUGCACGUAAUAUAACAAAUUCUUAUUUUAAGAAAAAAAGAAAAAGCAUUCUGGACGUUUCAGGGUGAUUCAAGGAAGAGUUGAAACACAAUGUGUCUUUUAUUUUUUUUUUUGUAAAAUAUGCAAACUUUUAUUUUUUAUUUCCUGAUGUCUGUUGUUUGACAUUCUACCUGCAGCAGCGUGGGCGACAAUUUGUACAGAUUUAAAAAAAAAAAAAACACACACACACAAAAACAAAAACAACACUUGCUGGUCUGAUGUGUGGAGUCAUUGUAACCGUGGGAGGCAAACCGUUUAAAGCUACUUCUUCUUCCUGUAACUGCUGCAGAGAUUUCUAUUUCACGCACAGAUGAUGAUGAUGAUGAUGAUGAUAACAUUGUUUAUAGUUUAGUUAAACUCAUUCUUGUUUUUAAACUUUAAACCAUUAUUCCAUAGGUGAACAAAAGACAAUCAAUUAUUUCUAUUUAUAUUUGAAUUAUAGUUCUAUUUUUUAGAGUUUUUAGAUAAUCGAAACAUACAUUUAUAGAAAAAGAAAUUAUUUAAUACUGUAGUCUUUAAAGACAAAGUGAUGAUCUUUACCCCAUGCGUAAAUGACGAGCCCUGAUGCUCGACUCGUGUAAAUUAUUAGACUUUUCGGUUCACUUCAAGUCCUGGAUUCACCAUCCGAAUGAUACCUCUUCAUGCUAGCAGUCGUCCUGUGUUGCUAUAAUGUGACUCCACGUUACAUCCGUGUCUUUGAGAAGUGGUUUUAAGCGGUUUUGUUGUGGCGAACCUUCAGGUAUCAUUAAAAAUUCAUCCUCCGUCGAAGGAGCGGAAGCGAAAUGUGCUUCGGAUCUGAGCGGUUAGAGUACUGAGAGUGCACAAAGAACAAUGCAGUGACUAAAUUAAGAAGUAGUUGAGCAAAAGCAAAAGAGGGAAUUCGAAUAGAAGACUAACGCCAUCCCUGAGAAUAAUUUGUCUGACAGGAAGGGGAGCUGUAGGUCUUUUUUUGUUUUCGAUGCUGCUGCUGUCACCUGAGUUUGAUUCUCUGUCAGUGAUUUUUUUUUUUUGUUUUAGUUUGUAGAAAGUUUCAUGUUUUUCUGUUUGUUUUUUCUUUCGUCUGUCACUUGAAAACUUUUUGAGCUAAUUUGCCUUAUUUUUUGAUGGAUUUAUCUUUGAAGUAGUUUUGAUUUUAGCUGUAGAGUUUAGCUUUUUAUAGUAGAGUAGACGUUAGUUGUUUCCUUUUUUUUUCUCUCUUGAUGCUGUUUAUCUUGUGCACAUCACGUUUUGUUUUCACACAGGUCUCCGUUCCAAACUUCUUUUCGUCGUCUGUCCUCAUAUUGUGUCGGACCUGUCUGUAGGAAAGCCUUUCAGAACCAAACAAUGUCUUCAUUUAGUGCUGAUCCAAAAGAAUCAUACUGAUGCUGCAGCAGAGGCUUCAUACACGCGACGAACCGAGUGGAGCUCGCGUCACUACAUUCAAAAUAUGUUGACCUUUUAAUUUAUACAGACAUCAAAAACUGUAGAUAUGUAGAUAAUAGAAAUCGUGGUUUUACAAAGGACUGCUCACUAGACCAUGGAAGUGCCAUUAAAGACGAUUCUUACAGCCUUUAGUGAGACAGCAAGUCUGAAUGAAUUUGUGAGUGAUCCGAAAAAAUUCUGCAAAAACCCUUUUUUUAGCGAAGCCUUAAUGUCUCCUCUCUGGAUGAACUGCCUGAGCUCUCGCAGGAUUGACACUAAGUUGUAUAUACUGCAGAAAAAAAAAUGGCAUUGGGCUUGUUUGAGUAGUUAGCUGUAGUCUUCGCGGGGAGCUGCUCCUCGACCAUCCAUGUUGGAAUCCAGUGAAAAACACAGUGUGAUAACGUCUGUCUCCAGGCUCGUAGUUUGACGAUCCUGUUCUCACCUUUUACUUUUUUCACACGUCGACCUUUUUGCUGUGUUUUUCUGUUGUUCGUUUCCUCAACCAAAGAUGUUGUAGCCACCCAUCUUGUUUUUUUUUGGUUUUUUUAGCUCUCUGUCACAGACAAACUUCCUCUGUUGGCCUUCUGGUUUCCGGUAGAUUCAGAAAGAGAAGAGGUCGCAAUAAUGGCUGGUGAUGUGCACACAAUAUUUCACACUGUGGCCACAGUUUAAAGGUGCAGUAUGUAAAAACUGGCCACCUGUCAAUCCACAAGAGACCAGAGGGGGGCAGCAUAUCACCAGAGUAACUGCUAGCUGCUGCUAUCUGCAGCUGCCGUUAGCAAGUUAGCUCAGUUAGCCAUUCAAAUGGCGGCAUGUCACAGGAAUGUUGGACAGGAUGUAGCUACACUGUAAAAUCUGACAAAGUGACUUUACUUUAAAAUAAAACAAGUAAACCAGUUCCCCUAAAAUGAACCAGUAAAGUUGACUAACAGUUUUAAGUUAUUAAAACUUUACCAAUUCACCUGGUAAUUCUGACGUAAUUGGUGUCUUGACUUUUUUAAAGCGAGGUCAUUGUUUAAGAUUUGCAGUCUAGCUGGUCAGCAAUCUAACCUCAGUACAUGCACUGUAAAUUUUACAAAGUUGACUUUACUGUAAAGACUUCAGGAAACUGAUUUCGUCAGAAUUACCAAGUGAAGUAGACCAUUACACUGAAAUUGUUCAAGCCACAUACUUCGAACAACAAAUUGUUAUUCUCCUUGGUAAUUGUGUGGUAAUUGGUUUUGUCGAUAUUAAAUAAAGUUGCUUUGUCAGAUUUGACAGCGUAGCCACAGAAAGUCAAAACUAGUUAUUUCUUCACAUUCUGUUGAUAAAUUUCAACCAAGAUUCUCACAUAUUGCUACUUGUAGGUUUAAGGUUCUGUGAGAAUGUUUUGGGCAUCACUGCAUCUGUCAUCAGUGCGCGGAUCAAAGUGAACAUCUGCCAAAACGGUCUGGUUUUUAAUUUAAAUGAGUUUCCCUCGGUGUGCAUCAUGGAGUGUUUGAGCGCCGACACCCAGGAGAAACACAGAACCUUAAUGAUGGUCAGCGUUUUCAGACACGAGAGCUAAUUUUGUAAAUAGUCUUUUUUUUGUUUCUCCUUCCACUUCCUCCUUACACAGUUUUGUUUGCUUCUUCUUGUGUGUUUUGUCGUUUUUGAAAUUUUUUUUUUUUUUUUUUUUAAUGAAUUAUAACCUGUCCAGAUAACACAGUGACUACCAAGUUUUCAGAUUCAGUGCACCAUGAAGGAAAAUGUCAUGGAUAUUGUUUAUAUGUUCAGAGAAAUGAUAUUCCAUGUAUUAGCCAUCACUUUUAAUACAUAAACCGGGAUUUUGGAACUAUGAAAUGACCACCUGUUACGAUGCAGUGUUCAUUUAUUUUAUUUGUCUGCUCAUCAGCGGAGAUAAAAUGACAGGAAACACACAACGCUCCAAAUAAUUCAGCAUCAUGAAAAUUAUAGAGCCUUAAGUUACAUUAAAAUGUUAUGAAACGCAAAAGAGGUGUGCCCAAAAGACGGCACACAAUCUUUGAUGGAGAGAAAAAAAUCUCCUUGCACUUAUUAUUUUCAUUUGACACCAAUUCGAAAAUGCUCUUUUUGUCCAUCCUGAUGUAGAUUUGAUGGCUUAUUUCAUAGCUUCAAAAUGUUUUGCUGCUAAAACAGGAUUUCCAAACAGGUGGUUAGAUGUUGCGCGGUCUGGAUUUUCAAAAUGUCCUCUCGAAUAUCUUAAUUUGGUUGACACAGAGUACCCCUCACAUGUUUGAUUUUCAAUAAUGACGAAAGACUUAGUUUGCUAAAAAUGUUUUUGUUAUUGGAUAGUUGUAUUUUACUUUAUUAAAACUAAUAUUUCCGAACAUAUUUUGAAUAACAAAGACAUGUCCUGUUGCUCCACACUGUAUGUACCGAUUUACACUCACACUUUGAAAAUCCAGCGGGCUCGUCUCAUUCCCUGUUUGUGAACAGUUUUCUUAUUUAUACAAGAACUCAUUUUGUACAGUUUUGUUAGAGGAAAGAGGUUUUGAUAUUUGGUUAUUUUGCAAAGCCACUUGGCUACUUUUGUCUUCCUGUGCCAGAGUUGCUAAAUUGUCUGUAACUUGUGUUUUUUUAUUGAUUGAAAUGAGACUUUCCUUCUUUCUUGGUUUUCUCUUUGAAUUUGAAAAUGUCAGUUUUUCUUUUUUUUAAUAAAAGCCUUGUUUCAA